UCUAGCGGCGGACGGGUGAGUAAUGUAUAGGGAGCUGCCCGACAGAGGGGGAUACCAGUUGGAAACGACUGUUAAUACCGCAUAACGUCUACGGACCAAAGUAUGGGACCUUCGGGCCAUAUGCUGUCGGAUGCACCUAUAUGGGAUUAGCUAGUUGGUGGGGUAACGGCUCACCAAGGCGACGAUCCCUAGCUGGUUUGAGAGGAUGAUCAGCCACACUGGAACUGAGACACGGUCCAGACUCCUACGGGAGGCAGCAGUGGGGAAUAUUGGACAAUGGGCGCAAGCCUGAUCCAGCCAUGCCGCGUGUGUGAAGAAGGCCUUAGGGUUGUAAAGCACUUUCAGCGAGGAGGAAGGGGUUGUUGUUAAUAGCAACAAUCUUUGACGUUACUCGCAGAAGAAGCACCGGCUAACUCCGUGCCAGCGGCCGCGGUAAUACGGAGGGUGCAAGCGUUAAUCGGAAUUACUGGGCGUAAAGCGCACGUAGGCGGUUUGUUAAGUUGGAUGUGAAAGCCCCGGGCUCAACCUGGGAAUUGCAUUCAAGACUGGCAAGCUAGAGUAUGUGAGAGGGGGGUAGAAUUCCAAGUGUAGCGGUGAAAUGCGUAGAGAUUUGGAGGAAUACCAGUGGCGAAGGCGGCCCCCUGGCACAAUACUGACGCUCAGGUGCGAAAGCGUGGGGAGCAAACAGGAUUAGAUACCCUGGUAGUCCACGCCGUAAACGAUGUCUACUAGCUGUUCGUGGUCUUGUACUGUGAGUAGCGCAGCUAACGCACU
RNAcentral lists this ribosomal RNA (774 nucleotides) under uncultured bacterium. RNAcentral describes it as "bacterial SSU rRNA". It matches the Rfam family "Bacterial small subunit ribosomal RNA", at positions 91 to 861 of the family's 1533-position model. The record is from RNAcentral.